This is a long non-coding RNA of Mastomys coucha (southern multimammate mouse), 1491 nucleotides long. RefSeq lists it as uncharacterized. The record is from RefSeq and is a predicted model, not a curated record. The transcript has 2 exons. NCBI's taxonomy places the organism in Eukaryota, Metazoa, Chordata, Mammalia, Rodentia, Muridae.
UCUGUAGAGCUCACCUAAAUUAGAAGUUUUGUUUUCUUGGCAACAAACCCAGUCGUCUUCAAGAACUCAGUCCUGCCCAUGUGCAUUGCUACCAGUCUUAGUCUACCUCUGCCCUCAUCAGUGCCUGCCCUGAAGGUGCACACAAAACAGUCUUCUCGUGAGCACAGUGCUGCGAUGCUCGGUGGCGCACAGGCACACGCCAGCCAACCUAGCGUGCAAACACAUUCUGCCCACCAAAUCCCCCACGCAGAGAAAAGGCCAUUUCCAGCUCACACAAGACAGUCUGUAUGUAGUAUUUUACCUUGACUUCAGGGAAUUAUAGAGCCGAAUUCCAUCGGCCGCACCACAAAUCUGAACUAAAUCCUCCUUUGUUAGCUUUAAUAAGUCGGCACCUGGAAAACAGCAGAGAUCCUCAAAUAAGCAAGAGAGGGAUGGACAGGGCUGCUGUGAAGCAGCAGGCUUCUCCACACGCUUCUGUCCUUCUGCCCAGUCAACGGGUGUCCUGGAGUACACACGCCCACGACUGACACAGGAACACACAUCUGUAUUUUAGAGAAACAACAUGCUGUGGUAACCAGGUGCCAGAAGCUGAUAAAUCAGCAACCAUGGCCAGAAAGCCCGCCUGCUUCCAAUACAAGGCUCCUACACUGCUUUUCUUUCCUUGUUGCUGGGCUGUGGAUAACCAUGUUUCUGACUCCCCCUAAAGCCCUGAUGUUGCUUUUCUUCUUUUUAAAAACAUAUAUGGAAUGCUGACAUCUGGGGAACUUGCCCAAAGUCACCAGUGAGUGAGAAGCAAAGUCGAGAGCGGGUCUCAUUACAGCACAGUGUGCAACAUCAAGUUAGCCACUGUAAAGUUCCAUCGCUACAGCCUGUUCUAAUGAGAGCUCAGCAGAAGAUCACUCUGUUCCUUAAGAUUGCUUCCGCUCAAAUGAAAGAGCCUGACAGAAUCCUAGCUUAUAAAGAAAUGAAAACCAGAGAAGCCUAAUGCCCAUGAGACGUGAACCUCUAUGGAGUCACUCUUGGAAUGAAAGAGCAGAGAAAGAAGUUCUCUGUCUACUAGGGUCACACAGCUCUGAAGCAGCGCUUCCAGUUGUGACAUCUGUAAUUCAUGAAGAGAUGUAUCCCAGCUGGUGAUGGUAAAUCCCAGCUCUGACACAUGCCUGACCACCUAAGAGAUCUCACUGUCUGCUAGUCCCUUAAGUGUUGCGGCUCAGGUGAUGUGCCAAAGAGCAGCUCAGCGUGAACCCUCCAAAGGAAGCCCCCAGGAUAAGGAAAAUGCAGAAUGCCAAGCCAUGUGAUCACUGCGUACAACGAAAAGUCUUACAGCUCCAUAGAACAUGCAGUAACAUGCAAGUCCCAGAUAUCAAAGGCUGUUCUGUCUGCUCUUCAUCCACUUGCUGUGUAUAAGGGCUCAGGAAACCCAUCUCUCAUACUGAAUUCUAUAAUUUCUAGCUUUUCACACAUUAAAGACUUUAUUUAAUCACAUGAAAA